AGGGCAUAAUAGAACACUUCUAUCAGCUGGCAGGAUUGUGAACACUUUGAUGCCAUAAAAGAACAGUUGUAAAGGUUAAUAGAACACUUUUAAUAGGUUUAUGGUUAUUAACACUGUUUUAGAAUUUAGAAUACUAUGAUGUCAUAAUAGAACAGUUGUAAAGGUUAAUAGGACACUCUUAAUAGCUUUAUGGUUGUAAACACUGUUUUAGAAUUUAGAAUACUAUGAUGCCAUAAUAGAACAGUUGUAAAGGUUAAU
Molecule: long non-coding RNA, 258 nt
Filed under: Ananas comosus (pineapple)
Lineage: Eukaryota; Viridiplantae; Streptophyta; Magnoliopsida; Poales; Bromeliaceae
Description: long non-coding RNA (ACOM_LNC041100)
Source: RNAcentral